GCGAUGGUUGUCGUCAGGCUCGUGUCGUGAGAUGUUGGGUUAAGUCCCGCAACGAGCGCAACCCCUACGUUUAGUUGCUAACGCGUGAAGGCGAGCACUCUAGACGAACUGCCGUUGACAAAACGGAGGAAGGUGGGGAUGACGUCAAAUCAUCAUGCCCCUUAUGUUCUGGGCUACACACGUGCUACAAUGGCCGGUACAGACGGACGCAAAGCCGCGAGGUGGAGCAAAUCCUAAAAAGCCGGUCUCAGUUCGGAUUGCAGGCUGCAACUCGCCUGCAUGAAGUCGGAAUCGCUAGUAAUCGCAGGUCAGCAUACUGCGGUCGAAUACGUUCCGGGCCUU
This 342-nucleotide ribosomal RNA is filed under the name uncultured Pelotomaculum sp. RNAcentral's name for it is "bacterial SSU rRNA". It matches the Rfam family "Bacterial small subunit ribosomal RNA", at positions 1041 to 1382 of the family's 1533-position model. Lineage: Bacteria; Bacillati; Bacillota; Clostridia; Eubacteriales; Desulfotomaculaceae. The record is from RNAcentral.